Molecule: ribosomal RNA, 116 nt
Filed under: Hierodula sp. CH-2014
Lineage: Eukaryota; Metazoa; Arthropoda; Insecta; Mantodea; Mantidae
Description: partial 16S ribosomal RNA
Source: RNAcentral
AAGAUUUUCAAGGUCGAACAGACCUAGUUAUUGAACAUCUGCAUCCAAAACUAAUCUUAAUCCAACAUCGAGGUCACAAUCUCCUUUUUCGAUAUGAACUCUCAAAAAGAAUUAUG